CUCGUAGGUGGCUGAGUAAGUCGGAUGUCAAAUCUCCAGGCUCAACCUGGAACACCAUUCGAUACUGCUCUGGCUAGAGUCCGGUAGGGGAGCGUGGAAUUCCUGGUGUAGCGGUGAAAUGCGCAGAUAUCAGGAGGAACACCAGCGGCGAAGGCGGCGCUCUGGGCCGGCACUGACACUGAGGAGCGAAAGCAUGGGUAGCAAACA
RNAcentral lists this ribosomal RNA (207 nucleotides) under uncultured bacterium. RNAcentral describes it as "partial 16S ribosomal RNA". It matches the Rfam family "Bacterial small subunit ribosomal RNA", at positions 568 to 774 of the family's 1533-position model. The record is from RNAcentral.